GGAUGUGAGGGUGAUCUGGCCACGACAUCUGUCACCCCAUUGAGCACCAGCAUUGAUUCGGCAGAUCUGGCUGGCUAGCGGGUGUCCCCUUCCUCCCUCACGGCUCCAUGUGCUUCCCUCCCGAAGCUGUGCGCUCAGGUGAAGAGGACAACUGUCCCUGAGAGAGGAGAGGACUGUUCUUCGGUCAAGGGUAUACGAGGAGCUGCACUCCCCAGGUAGGACCUCCAAACAAGCUCUCAAGACUAUCUAAAGUUUACAGGUCAGGAGACUUAAUGUUACGAUGGCAGUCCCCACUAAAUGCAUCUACAGGGUGCCUGGGUGG
Molecule: small nuclear RNA, 322 nt
Filed under: Neogale vison (American mink)
Lineage: Eukaryota; Metazoa; Chordata; Mammalia; Carnivora; Mustelidae
Description: Neovison vison (American mink) 7SK RNA (ENSNVIG00000001487.1)
Rfam family: 7SK RNA
About the family: 7SK was discovered as an abundant small nuclear RNA in the mid-70s but a possible function has only recently been suggested. Two independent studies have found that 7SK RNA binds the CDK9/cyclin T complex (known as elongation factor P-TEFb). P-TEFb activates transcription by phosphorylating the C-terminal domain of RNA polymerase II.
Source: Rfam by way of RNAcentral